This 127-nucleotide small nuclear RNA is filed under the name Dermacentor andersoni. RNAcentral describes it as "U5 spliceosomal RNA". It matches the Rfam family "U5 spliceosomal RNA". Rfam says of the family: U5 RNA is a component of both types of known spliceosome. Lineage: Eukaryota; Metazoa; Arthropoda; Arachnida; Ixodida; Ixodidae. The record is from RNAcentral.
UCGCUCUUGUCUCUCCUCAGCUCACCCGCACUAACCUUUCGCCUUUUACUAAAGGUUACCGUGGGGAGGGACACUUCAAUGAGCAUCUAGGCCAAUUUUUGUGGGGCCCUGCUCGUUUGGGUGGGGC